This 519-nucleotide long non-coding RNA is filed under the name Bos indicus x Bos taurus (hybrid cattle). Its description in RNAcentral is "lncRNA (ENSBIXG00000010469.1)". Lineage: Eukaryota; Metazoa; Chordata; Mammalia; Artiodactyla; Bovidae. The record is from RNAcentral.
AAAUGGAUCUCGGAGUGUGUGCGCUUCCUAUCUUCAAAGGGAAGAGGAGAGAGAGAGAAGACGGUCUAAGUGUCAGGAAGAGGAAUGAUGCUCCAGAUGCGCCCUUUGACUCCAUUUCCUGCUCCCCACCAAGCCUCUGGAGAGUAUGCUCAGGGAGCUCUCCCUCUUCCUGUGAGGCCAGAGAUGUUUCCAGUUUUGAGGCUGUUGUGGAUGACAUGUCUGGGCAAGCAUGCGGCAAAACCACAGAGAGACAGGAGAGGAAAGAAACAAAGCUGGGCAAACUCCAGAGCACCUUCUGCAGGACUUCUGUCAAGCCUGAGGCCAACUUGAACCGCAACAGCAAGACACACAGGUUCCAUUUCAACAAUGUAAAUGGUGUCCAUGAGGACCUGGAGGUAAGGCCUCAUUUAUCCGUGGCUUCCCUCACUCCCUCCACAAAUACAAAGCUAGAGUGAUGCAGUCAGUGAAUCCGCUGGACUCUGCCCUUAAAGUGCAUCCAGAAUCCGAUCACUUCUCUCC